UGAUCUACAGCUGCGAGGUACUUUGGGUCACCUCCCAUCCGUGUCUAUUGUACCCUGUUGCUUCGGCGGGCCCGCCGCUUGUCGGCCGCCGGGGGGGCGCCUCUGCCCCCCGGGCCCGUGCCCGCCGGAGACCCCAACACGAACACUGUCUGAAAGCGUGCAGUCUGAGUUGAUUGAAUGCAAUCAGUUAAAACUUUCAACAAUGGAUCUCUUGGUUCCGGCAUCGAUGAAGAACGCAGCGAAAUGCGAUAACUAAUGUGAAUUGCAGAAUUCAGUGAAUCAUCGAGUCUUUGAACGCACAUUGCGCCCCCUGGUAUUCCGGGGGGCAUGCCUGUCCGAGCGUCAUUGCUGCCCUCAAGCCCGGCUUGUGUGUUGGGUCGCCGUCCCCCUCUCCGGGGGGACGGGCCCGAAAGGCAGCGGCGGCACCGCGUCCGAUCCUCGAGCGUAUGGGGCUUUGUCACAUGCUCUGUAGGAUUGGCCGGCGCCUGCCGACGUUUUCCAACCAUUCUUUCCAGGUUGACCUCGGAUCAGGUAGGGAUACCCGCUGAACUUAAGCAUAUCAAAAACCGGGAGGAA
This 576-nucleotide ribosomal RNA is filed under the name Aspergillus niger. RNAcentral's name for it is "eukaryotic LSU rRNA". The stretch from base 192 to 345 matches the Rfam family "5.8S ribosomal RNA". The record is from RNAcentral. Lineage: Eukaryota; Fungi; Ascomycota; Eurotiomycetes; Eurotiales; Aspergillaceae.